Molecule: ribosomal RNA, 433 nt
Filed under: uncultured Alphaproteobacteria bacterium
Lineage: Bacteria; Pseudomonadati; Pseudomonadota; Alphaproteobacteria
Description: bacterial SSU rRNA
Rfam family: Bacterial small subunit ribosomal RNA
Source: RNAcentral
GAACGCUGGCGGCAGGCUUAACACAUGCAAGUCGAACGAUAAACUAGACUUCGGUUUAGUGGACAGUGGCAGACGGGUGAGUAACGCGUGGGAAUCUACCUUUGAGUGGGGAAUAACAAUUAGAAAUGAUUGCUAAUACCGCAUACACCCUCCGGGGGAAAGGCUUCGGCCGCUCUUAGAUGAGCCCGCGUACGAUUAGUUUGUUGGUGAGGUAAAGGCUCACCAAGACUACGAUCGUUAGCUGGUUUGAGAGGAUGAUCAGCCACACUGGGACUGAGACACGGCCCAGACUCCUACGGGAGGCAGCAGUGGGGAAUAUUGGACAAUGGGCGAAAGCCUGAUCCAGCCAUGCCGCGUGAGUGAAGAAGGCCUUAGGGUUGUAAAACUCUUUCGACAGGGAAGAUAAUGACGGUACCUGUAUAAGAAGCUCCGG